GAUGAACGCUGGCGGCGUGCCUAAUACAUGCAAGUCGAGCGAACGGACGAGAAGCUUGCUUCUCUGAUGUUAGCGGCGGACGGGUGAGUAACACGUGGAUAACCUACCUAUAAGACUGGGAUAACUUCGGGAAACCGGAGCUAAUACCGGAUAAUAUUUUGAACCGCAGGGUUCAAAAGUGAAAGACGGUCUUGCUGUCACUUAUAGAUGGAUCCGCGCUGCAUUAGCUAGUUGGUAAGGUAACGGCUUACCAAGGCAACGAGGCAUAGCCGACCUGAGAGGGUGGUCGGCCACCCUGGAACUGAGACACCGUCCAGACUCCUACGGGAGGCAGCAGUAGGGAAUCUUCCGCAAUGGGCGAAAGCCUGACGGAGCGACGCCGCGUGAGUGAUGAAGGUCUUCGGAUCGUAAAACUCUGUUAUUAGGGAAGAACAUAUGUGUAAGUAACUGUGCACAUCUUGACGGUACCUAAUCAGAAAGCCACGGCUAACUACGUG
This 497-nucleotide ribosomal RNA is filed under the name uncultured bacterium. RNAcentral describes it as "partial 16S ribosomal RNA". It matches the Rfam family "Bacterial small subunit ribosomal RNA", at positions 28 to 507 of the family's 1533-position model. The record is from RNAcentral.